This 125-nucleotide small RNA is filed under the name Marmota monax (woodchuck). Lineage: Eukaryota; Metazoa; Chordata; Mammalia; Rodentia; Sciuridae. The record is from RNAcentral.
GCUGGGCAUGGUGACGCACACCUGUCAUCCCAGCAGCUCAGGAGGCUGAGGCAGGAGGAUCCCAAGUUCAAAUCCAGCCUCAGCAAGAGUGAGGCCCUAAGCAGCUCAGUGAGACCCUGUCUCUA